AUGGGAGGGCAAGGGGAUAAAGUCGUUCCUUUACCCUUUUUGGUUAUAAUCUUCACAUCCCUGAAUGGCUACAGCCCAGCUCAACUUCUUUCAAAUAUUUACUUGACAGACAAUGAAAAGAUAUUAUCGGACUAUGGGACAACUUUUGUUACAGCAUGGAAGAAUACUCACAACUACAGGGUGUGGAACAGCAACAAGCAUCCAGCACUUGCAGAAAUAAAUCCAAACCAUCCAUUUCAAGGCCAAUACUCAGUAUCAGACAUGAAGUUAAGGUUCUCACAUUCUGUUCAGAAUAGUGAACGUGGCAAAAAAAUUGGAAACGUCAUGGUCACAACUAGCAGGAAUGUUGUACAAACAGGAAAAGCUGUUGGCCAGUCAGUUGGAGGAGCUUUUUCCAGUGCAAAGACAGCUAUGUCUUCAUGGCUUUCCACUUUCACCACUUCCACCUCCCAAAGUCUCACUGAGCCACCGGAUGGGAAGCCUUGAGCAAGGAUACCUGGGAUGGCCGUUCUCAGAGAGUACUUACGGGGAACAGACUGCCUUUUAGUAACAAAGGAUACUUGGGAAAUACAUU
RNAcentral lists this long non-coding RNA (574 nucleotides) under Pan paniscus (pygmy chimpanzee). RNAcentral describes it as "lncRNA (ENSPPAG00000045280.1)". The record is from RNAcentral. Lineage: Eukaryota; Metazoa; Chordata; Mammalia; Primates; Hominidae.